UGUUAUACAACUGAAGUCAAUUUAUGAUUGGUGUUUGUGAAAAGUGCAGGAAAACAUUUGCAGCUAAAAAUUUGUUUCCAUAACAUCUUUAGAAACAUACAUUUAUAGCAUUGCUAUUAUUUGAUUGACC
This is a non-coding RNA of Bombyx mori (domestic silkworm), 130 nucleotides long. Lineage: Eukaryota; Metazoa; Arthropoda; Insecta; Lepidoptera; Bombycidae. The record is from RefSeq and is marked provisional.